GUAGGGAAUCUUCCACAAUGGACGAAAGUCUGAUGGAGCAACGCCGCGUGAGUGAAGAAGGUCUUCGGAUCGUAAAACUCUGUUGUUAGAGAAGAACGUGCAUGAUAGUAACUGAUCAUGUAAUGACGGUAUCUAACCAGAAAGCCACGGCUAACUACGUGCCAGCAGCCGCGGUAAUACGUAGGUGGCAAGCGUUGUCCGGAUUUAUUGGGCGUAAAGGGAACGCAGGCGGUUUUUUAAGUCUGAUGUGAAAGCCUUCGGCUUAACCGAAGAAUAGCAUUGGAAACUGGAAGACUUGAGUGCAGAAGAGGAGAGUGGAAUUCCAUGUGUAGCGGUGAAAUGCGUAGAUAUAUGGAGGAACACCAGUGGCGAAGGCGACUUUCUGGACGAAAACUGACGCUGAGGCGCGAAAGCCAGGGGAGCGAACGGGAUUAGAUACCCUUGUAGUCC
RNAcentral lists this ribosomal RNA (450 nucleotides) under uncultured bacterium. Its description in RNAcentral is "partial 16S ribosomal RNA". It matches the Rfam family "Bacterial small subunit ribosomal RNA", at positions 354 to 796 of the family's 1533-position model. The record is from RNAcentral.